UACGAGGGGAGCUAGCGUUGUUCGGAAUUACUGGGCGUAAAGGGCGCGUAGGCGGUCCUAUAAGUCAGAUGUGAAAGCCCCGGGCUUAACCUGGGAGGUGCAUUUGAAACUGUAGAACUUGAGAUCGAGAGAGGAAAGUGGAAUUACGAGUGUAGAGGUGAAAUUCGUAGAUAUUCGUAAGAACACCAGUGGCGAAGGCGACUUUCUGGCUCGAUACUGACGCUAAGGCGCGAAAGCGUGGGGAGCAAACAGG
Molecule: non-coding RNA, 253 nt
Filed under: uncultured bacterium
Lineage: Bacteria
Also listed under: 1 other name
Description: partial 16S ribosomal RNA
Rfam family: Bacterial small subunit ribosomal RNA
Source: RNAcentral